RNAcentral lists this ribosomal RNA (497 nucleotides) under uncultured bacterium. RNAcentral describes it as "partial 16S ribosomal RNA". It matches the Rfam family "Bacterial small subunit ribosomal RNA", at positions 28 to 507 of the family's 1533-position model. The record is from RNAcentral.
GAUGAACGCUGGCGGCGUGCCUAAUACAUGCCAGUCGAGCGAACAGACGAGGAGCUUGCUCCUCUGACGUUAGCGGCGGACGGGUGAGUAACACGUGGAUAACCUACCUAUAAGACUGGGAUAACUUCGGGAAGCCGGAGCUAAUACCGGAUAAUAUAUUGAACCGCAUGGUUCAAUAGUGAAAGACGGUUUUGCUGUCACUUAUAGAUGGAUCCGCGCCGCAUUAGCUAGUUGGUAAGGUAACGGCUUACCAAGGCGACGAUGCGUAGCCGACCUGAGAGGGUGAUCGGCCACACUGGAACUGAGACACGGUCCAGACUCCUACGGGAGGCAGCAGUAGGGAAUCUUCCGCAAUGGGCGAAAGCCUGACGGAGCAACGCCGCGUGAGUGAUGAAGGUCUUCGGAUCGUAAAACUCUGUUAUUAGGGAAGAACAAAUGUGUAAGUAACUAUGCACGUCUUGACGGUACCUAAUCAGAAAGCCACGGCUAACUACGUG